GAUGAACGCUGGCGGCGUGCCUAAUACAUGCAAGUCGAGCGAACAGAUAAGGAGCUUGCUCCUUUGACGUUAGCGGCGGACGGGUGAGUAACACGUGGGUAAUCUACCUAUAAGACUGGAAUAACUCCGGGAAACCGGGGCUAAUGCAGGAUAACAUGUUGAACCGCAUGGUUCUACAGUGAAAGGCGGCUUUGCUGUCACUUAUAGAUGGACCCGCGCCGUAUUAGCUAGUUGGUGAGGUAACGGCUCACCAAGGCAACGAUACGUAGCCGACCUGAGAGGGUGAUCGGCCACACUGGAACUGAGACACGGUCCAGACUCCUACGGGAGGCAGCAGUAGGGAAUCUUCCGCAAUGGGCGAAAGCCUGACGGAGCAACGCCGCGUGAGUGAUGAAGGUCUUCGGAUCGUAAAACUCUGUUAUUAGGGAAGAACAAAUGCGUAAGUAACUGUGCGCGUCUUGACGGUACCUAAUCAGAAAGCCACGGCUAACUACGUG
This 497-nucleotide ribosomal RNA is filed under the name uncultured bacterium. RNAcentral describes it as "partial 16S ribosomal RNA". It matches the Rfam family "Bacterial small subunit ribosomal RNA", at positions 28 to 507 of the family's 1533-position model. The record is from RNAcentral.